CGCAGGGUAGCUCAGUUGGUCAGAGCAGUUGGCUCAUACCCAAAAGGUCGGCGGUUCGAAUCCGCCUCCUGCGACCA
Molecule: transfer RNA, 77 nt
Filed under: Deltaproteobacteria bacterium
Lineage: Bacteria; Pseudomonadati; Myxococcota; Myxococcia
Description: tRNA-Met
Rfam family: tRNA
About the family: Transfer RNA (tRNA) molecules are approximately 80 nucleotides in length. Their secondary structure includes four short double-helical elements and three loops (D, anti-codon, and T loops).
Source: RNAcentral